RNAcentral lists this small RNA (125 nucleotides) under Marmota monax (woodchuck). The record is from RNAcentral. Lineage: Eukaryota; Metazoa; Chordata; Mammalia; Rodentia; Sciuridae.
GUUGGGUGUGGUGGUGCACACCUGUAAUCCUAGCGUCUUGGGAGGCUGAGGCAAGAGGAUCGUAAGUUUAAAACCAUCCUCAGCAAAACCGAGAGACGAAGCAACUCAGUGAGACCCUGUCUCCA